UACAGAGGUCCCGAGCGUUGUUCGGAUUCACUGGGCGUAAAGGGUGCGUAGGUGGUGAGGUAAGUCGGAUGUGAAAUCUCCAAGCUCAACUUGGAAAUGGCAUUGGAAACUACCUUGCUCGAGGGUUUGAGGGGGGACUGGAAUACUUGGUGUAGCAGUGAAAUGCGUAGAUAUCAAGUGGAACACCAGUGGCGAAGGCGAGUCCCUGGAAAACUCCUGACACUGAGGCACGAAAGCUAGGGGAGCAAACAGG
This 253-nucleotide ribosomal RNA is filed under the name uncultured bacterium. RNAcentral's name for it is "partial 16S ribosomal RNA". It matches the Rfam family "Bacterial small subunit ribosomal RNA", at positions 524 to 776 of the family's 1533-position model. The record is from RNAcentral.